AUGGAGAAGCGACGCGGGCUAUCUACUAUUGCCGCUCUCACGGCAUGGUCCCUCUGGCGCCAUCACAAUGCGGCCAUCUUCGACAAGAUUGUGCCCACCUCCGCCUCCCUCCUGACGGUGAUCAAGGACGACGCUCGCUCCUGGGCCUAUACAGGAGCCAAAGGACUUAGCAUCAUUAUCCCUGUAAUGUAG
This 192-nucleotide ribosomal RNA is filed under the name Triticum aestivum (bread wheat). RNAcentral describes it as "partial small subunit ribosomal RNA". Lineage: Eukaryota; Viridiplantae; Streptophyta; Magnoliopsida; Poales; Poaceae. The record is from RNAcentral.